CCUACGGGAGGCAGCAGUGGGGAAUAUUGGGCAAUGGGCGCAAGCCUGACCCAGCAACGCCGCGUGAAGGAAGAAGGCUUUCGGGUUGUAAACUUCUUUUAAGCGGGAAGAGCAGAAGACGGUACCUCUUGAAUAAGCCACGGCUAACUACGUGCCAGCAGCCACGGUCAUACGUAGGUGGCAAGCGUUGUCCGGAAUUACUGGGUGUAAAGGGCGUGUAGCCGGGAUGACAAGUCAGAUGCGAAAUUUCGGGGCUCAACCCCGGACCCGCAUUUGAAACUGUUGGUCUUGAGUAUCAGAGAGGCAGGCGGAAUGCGUGGUGUAGCGGUGAAAUGCGUAGAUAUUAGGAAGAACCCCGGUGGCGAAGGCAGCCUGCUGGACGACGACUGACGGUGAGGCGCGAAAGCGUGGGGAGCGAACAGGAUUAGAUACCCCUGUAGUC
RNAcentral lists this ribosomal RNA (442 nucleotides) under uncultured bacterium. RNAcentral's name for it is "partial 16S ribosomal RNA". It matches the Rfam family "Bacterial small subunit ribosomal RNA", at positions 338 to 795 of the family's 1533-position model. The record is from RNAcentral.